AUACUCUGAUGAGUGGGCUUUUUCUGUAGAUUCACUAACCAUUGUGGGUGGUCUGUACCCUUUAAAGUGUCCGACCCACUUUCGAACAAAUCUUCUCUGGGGUUUCGUGGCAACAAUCGCCAUCUGGGAUACGCUUAAACAUAUUACUUUCACUCCAACCUUAGGUGAUUGGGUCCAUACAGAAACUCUACCUUCAAAGCUACAUGUCUAUUGUCUUGAAUUUAUGACCAUUGCAAUUAAUAGCACAUCAAAUCAGCCCGGC
RNAcentral lists this long non-coding RNA (262 nucleotides) under Elaeis guineensis (African oil palm). RNAcentral's name for it is "long non-coding RNA (EGUI_LNC056664)". Lineage: Eukaryota; Viridiplantae; Streptophyta; Magnoliopsida; Arecales; Arecaceae. The record is from RNAcentral.